CUAGAUGCCAGUAGCACCUCCUCAGUUGUGACAACCGAAAAUGUCUGCAGGCUCUGCUGAACAUCCCCUGAGGGGCGCAACCACCCCCAUUGAGACCUACAGCUGUAUACCCUUCUGCUCCGGGAGUUGAUGAUGGACGGGGAAGCCUGGCAUGCUGCAGUCCGUCGGGUCGCAAAGAGUUGGACACGACUGAGCAACUGAACUGAUUCCCGUUGUGGGCUCCAGGAGAGGAGGGAGGAUUCUUAACCACUGGACUACCAGGGAAACCACUCAAGUAUUCCCUUCAUGAAGGUUCAUGAGACCACGUCGGGGGAACCUCAGAAUGCGACCUUAUUUGGGGGCUUCCUUGUUGGCUCAAUGGUAAAGAAUCCACCUGCCAAUGCCAGAGACUCAGGUUCGAUCCCUGAUCCAGGAAGAUCCCACAUGCCGCAGAACAGCGAAGCCGGUACGUCACAGCUACUGAACCUGUGCUCUAGAGCCCAGGAGCCGAAGCUACAGAAGCCCAAGCGCCUAGAACCUGUGCUCUGCAACAAGAAGCUCCCGCCAUGAGAAGCCUGCACACAACUAGAGAGUAGUCCCUGCUCACCACAAUUAGAGAAAAGCCCACACAGCAACGAAGAUCCAGUACAGCCCAAAAUAAAUAAAUAAAAUUUUAAAAUAAAAAAAA
Molecule: long non-coding RNA, 667 nt
Filed under: Bos indicus x Bos taurus (hybrid cattle)
Lineage: Eukaryota; Metazoa; Chordata; Mammalia; Artiodactyla; Bovidae
Description: lncRNA (ENSBIXG00000027240.1)
Source: RNAcentral